GCAUAAAAUAAAGUGUAAAAAUUAAACUGUAACUUAGAAUCCAGAUUGCAUAAAAGGAAAUUUAUGGAUUGCAUAAAAUGACAAGUAUAAAAAUAAAGUAAAAAUUGGAAAAUAGAGCAUCCUCAGUCUCCCCUCUUCCUUUUUUUUUUGAAUUACAGAGCUCUCUCCCCCUUCAUUUUCUUUUGUUUCCUUCUUUCAAAAAAAAUAGAGCAUGGCUCUGUUUUCUUUCUUCGGAUCUCCCCUCCCCCUUCUUUGGCCCAACCGAGCGCUCCUUAUAUAGCUCGCCCCCACCCCUUGAAGCCGGCUGAGGAUCGAAACGGUCGCAGGAUCGCUGGGCGCUGAUCACGGAAGAGGAUCCCUCCUGGAUGGCGAGAAACGUAGGGGAGGCGAUGACGCUCGUGGGAAGAUUUUUGAAAUGGGGGAAAUAGGCAGACGCGGGGGAGGCGAUGAUGCGCAUCCCGGCUAGGAUGCUUCACGGAUGACGAGGACGGCCGUGGGAUCGUUAGGAGGAUCGCACGUGAACAACUAGAUCGAUGGAGCUGGCUGCGGGAUCGCUUGGAGGAAGACGUGGAUCCCCGCAGAGAUGGCUGGGAUCACGGGCUGGAGCGGCUUCUUGAUUGCAGACGUUUGUGAAUGCGGAUGGAAGAAGAGACGGAGGCGGGGGUCAUCCGGGAUGCUGGGAAUGGAAGGUAAUUCAGAUUGGCUGGAUGUGGAAUCACCGGAAGCUUCUUGGACGCCGGAUUGGAAGCGGGAUCAUGACUCGAAAUGGACAUGGGAGGCUGAAGAGUGCUGCGGGAUACUCAGACGCAGGAUCCGGAAAACUCGAAUGCGGCUGGAACGGGCGAAAGAAGCUGCUGGGAGGAAGAAGAACAGUGAACAUCAAAAAACUUUUCCGUAAUACUAUUCAUAUGAACAGUGUUUUUACUUAACACUGUUCAUAUGAACAGUUUCAUCUCAAACACUGUUCAUAUGAACAGUGUUUUCACGGAACACUGUUCAUAUGAACAGUUCUUCACGAAACACUAUUUAUAUGAACUGUGAUUUCAGCAAUGAAUAGUAACUUCGGGAAUAAAUAGUAAUUUCAGCUAUUGUUCAUGGGAUUGGAGGUUAAAAGGUCUUUUCUUUUGUGAUGAAGUGAGAGUGGUGCAAAGAGAAGGGAUCCAUGACUGAAAUAUGCCGGAUCGCAAUUGGUGUAGAUUAACUUCUGUCCAUAACAAUAGGGAUGAAUCGUGAUGAUGUAGUGGAAACAUAGGGAGUGACCCAGGUUUUAGGUAGGCUUGGCCCGGAAGGACCUUCAAUUACAAUAAGGAAACCAAAAUAAAGAAAUACAUCUUUUUAAGAGUUAUAUGCAGGAGAACUUUAGAAAAUUAGGUCCAAAAGAGUACUAAAAUAUGCACAAAUGUGUACUUAACACACCCCCAAAUCUGAAUUUUGCUGGUCCUCAAGCAAUAUCCUAGCUCACUUUCACACGCAUUGCGGUUGCAUUUAGCAGAUGCAACAAGCCGUUAAACCCCUAGGUUACCCUAGUGGACGAGUGUUGUCUUGUGAGGAUUUGCAGUGAAGUUAUCCACAAACUUCAUCAGUCAGAAAUUUCCAAUAUUUAACUCAAAAUUUGAACAAGUAUUGUUGUAUGAACCUUGAAUUGCAAGGACAAUAGAGACUUAUUGCUAUCAUAGUUAAGCAGGCUCUAACUCAAGUUUCAUUACACCCCAUCUAUCUGCUAACAAGUCAAGAAUGUAGUGAGGUGCAAGAUAAUAUCAUAUAAAUGAGUGGCUUUCACUUACUUCCAACAUGAUCAUUCUAAUUUUCAAGAUUUUCUAGAGUUAAAUGGUAAUGAACACCCAAGAUUUAACUUUUAAUCAGACUGAAUGCUAAGAAGAAUGACUUGUACAAUAUCUAGCCUUAUUAAGCUUUCUAGCUAACCCAUAUAGCGAGUGUUAGGCCAAUGACUUCCGAUCUAGAUGGUUCAAGGCACUAGGUGUAAAGACACCCUAACAGGCUUAAUAACUCAAGUCAACUAGGCUCCAAGGCCGAAUUAGUCACUCAGAGUUUAAUCUAAGUCAUCCUCACCUUUUUACGCGAACAUUCGCUGCUUGCCAGGCAAGAGGCUCGAUUACUUAGUGAGAAGACUUAAAAUCAACUCAUUUUAUUUAUUAUUAUUAUUAUUAUUAUUAUUAUUAUUAUUAUUUUGGUGUUCAUCACAUAUAUAACUUUAAAUUAUCCAGAAGAUUAAAAGUAUUCAUAUUAGUUGCAAAUAUUUACAUAUCCCACUAUUCAUGUGCUUACGUGUAGGUGCUAAAUCAUUUUCUAUCAUGUUAGCAGGAGACAGGUGGGAUGAAAACUCAAGCUAGAACUGCUAUCAUAUUUCCUAACUCAAAGCUAUUAUCAAAGCAAUUCCUAGUUUAUACUGUCAAAAAGAUUAUAAUUUGAGUUAAAAAUUUGAAAUUCUUUUCUUUUUUUCUUUUUUUUGGCACAAAAAUCUUUUUAGGUAGAAAAAUCAAAAAUAUUCUCACCCCUAUACCUAAAUUCAGCAUUAUCCUCAAUGUUGAAAAAAUUAAAACAGUAAUAGGAUAGAGGAGACAUUACUUGAUUUUGGAUCUUGAUAUGGCGGAUAAGUUGAAGAUUGAGAAAAAUACCCCCAAACAUGUAUGUUAGUAACUUAAUAAUAAUAAUUUUAAUCUUUACAUAUUGGGUUGCCUCCCAAGAGUGCUAAGUUUUAUGUCUUCAGCCAGACAAUUCUAGUUCACUCAUGAUAGACAGGGUCGGUUAGAAGUGUCUCCUCGACUUCUAGACUCAGAUACUCAAGGUAUGGUUUUAAACGAUAUCCAUUGACUUGAAAAGACCUACCAUCCUUGGUAUUGCAUAUUAUUACCGCACCAUGUGGAUCACUUUCUCUACCGUGUAUGGGCCAGUCCAAUGAGAUUUAAGUUUUCUCGAAAAUAUAUGUAAUCGAGAAUCAUAUAAAAGAACUUUUUGUCCUUGGUGAAACUCCUUACGAGUGAUCAUUUUAUCAUGCAUGACCUUCACGCGAUCCUUGUACUUCUUAACACACUUGUGAGCAUCAUUCCUAAUUUCUUCAAGCUCAUCGAGUUGAAGUUUUCUAUGUUCUCCUACCUUGUCGAGAUCGAAAUUUAGGCGUUUGAUUGCCCAAUAGGCCUUGUGUUCUAACUCGACAGGUAAUUAGCAAGACUUGCCAUAGAGAAUCCUUUAUGGGGACAUUUCAAUUGGUGUUUUGUAGGCCGUACGAUAUACCCACAAUGCAUCUAUUAACCUAAGGGACCAAUCCUUUCGAGAUGGAUUGAUAGUUUUCUCAAGGGUGGUCUUGAUUUUCCAAUUGGAAAUCUCAACUUGUCCACUCGUUUGUGGAUGAUACGGUGUACUGACCUUAUGGGUGAUGUUGUACUUCCUAGCAAGGGCUUUAAAAUUUCUAUUGCAAAAGUGUUUUCCCCCAUCACUAAUGAUAGCACGAGGGGUGCCAAAGCAAGCGAAGAUAGACUCCUUAAGAAACUUGAUCACCGCUUUGUGAUCAUUGGUCUUACACGCGACAGCCUCAAUCCACUUGGACACAUAGUCAACAGCAAGGAGUAUGUACUGGUGCCCAAACGACAUAGGAAAAGGACCCAUAAAAUCAAUACGCCAAACAUCAAAGAUUUCUACAAUUAAGAUCGGGUUCAGGGGCAUCUCAUUUCUUCUUGAAAUUUUUUCUAGUCUUUGACAUCGAUCACAUGUUUUACAAUACAUGUGUGAGUCAUGGAAUAGUGUGGGCCAAUAGAAUUCGCACUGCAAAACUUUUGCAGCCGUCUUUUUACCACUGAAAUGACCACCACAAGCAUGGUCAUGAUAAAAGGAAAGGACUUUCCUUUGUUCGUAUUCAGGGAUACACCGUCGGAUGAUCUGAUCAGGACAGUAUUUGAAUAAGUAUGGUUCAUCCCAAAAAUACCACUUCACACGAGUUAGGAAGCGAAAUUGCUCUUGCUUGGUCCAAGAGCUGGGCAUUUGUUCAGUAACGAGGUAGUUGACUAUGUUAGCAUACCAUGGAACAUUGAUAUGGAAAAUCAUCAUUAGUUGUUCAUCCGAAAAAGUUUCGGAUACAGGUAAGGAUUCUGCAGAUGACUCAACAAUUAGUCUAGACAAGUGGUCAGCCACUACAUUUUCAGAUCCCUUUUUAUCUCAAAUUUCGAGAUCAAAUUUCUGGAGCAAUAGGAUCCAACGAAUAAGCCUUGCCUUGGCAUCCUUUUUUGUGAGAAGGUACUUAAGGGCGGCAUGAUCAGAAUAAACAAGAACUUUAGAUCCUAUCAGGUAGGGACGAAAUUUAUCUAGAGCAAAAACAACCGCCAACAAUUCUUUUUCAAUGGUGGAAUAGUUUAGUUGGGCGUCAUUCAGGAUUUUGCUCGCAUAAUGAAUAACAUGGGGAAGCUUCCCCACUCGCUGACCCAAGACGACACCAUGGCAUACUCAGAUGGAUCACACAUGAUUUCAAAAGGAUGACUCCAAUCAGGAGACCUUAUGAUGGGUGCUGAAGUCAAUUCAGACUUCAGUCUUUCGAAAGCAGUUACACAAGUUGGUGAAAAAUUAAAAAUAGCAUCUUUAGCCAACAAAUCACAUAAGGGUUUUGAUAUUUUGCUAAAAUCUUUGAUAAAGCGGUGGUAAAAACCCGCAUGCCCUAAAAAUGAUCGAAUUUUUCUAACAGUUUUGGGAGGUGGCAAUUUAGCAAUAAAAUUUUACUUUGGUUUUAUCCACCUCAAUUCCCCUUUGUGACACAAUGUGUCCUAAAACAAUGCCUGAUUCUACCAUAAAAUGACACUUCUACCAAUUAAGAACUAAGUUUUUCUCUUUACAGCGUUCUACAACAAGUGUUGAGUGGUGCAAACAUUCAUCAAAAUUGGAUCCAAAUAUAGAAAAGUCAUCCAUGAAAACUUCUAAAAAUUUCUCUACCAUGUCGGAGAAAAUACUCAUCAUGCACUGCUAGAAUGUAGCCUGUGCAUUGCAUAGCCCAAAAGGCAUGCGACGAUAGGCAAAAGUGCCAUAAGGACAGGUGAACGUGGUUUUUUCUUGAUCCUCACGUGCAUUAGGGACUUGGUUAUAUCCAGAAUAACCAUCAAUGAAACAGUAAUGAGAGUGGCCACCUAGACGUUCUAGUAUUUGAUCGAUAAAGGGUAGAGAAAAGUGGUCUUUCCUAGUCAUGGCAUUAAGCUUUCUAUAGUCAAUGCAUACUCGCCAUCCCAUUUGGAUUCGAGUAGGAACUAACUCAUUGUGAUCAUUUCUUACUAUUGUGUUGCCAGACUUUUUGGGUACGACUUGAACUGGGCUUACCCACUGACUAUCAGAAAUAGGAUAUGUAAUCCCUGCAUCUAAAAGCUUGAUGACCUCGGCUCAAACUACAUCCUUCAUGACUGGAUUAAGUAGCCUUUGUGGCUCUCUAGAGAUUUUUGCAUCCUCUUCUUGAUGGAUCUUAUGUUGGACCACAGAAGGACUAAUCCCCUUAAUAUCAGCUAUAGACCAACCGAUAGCUUCCUGAUUCUUUCGAAGGUACUUAACAACUUCUCUUCCUGUUCUUUAGUCAGAUUCGAUGCAAUUAUAACAGGUAAGGUCUUGUUGUCUCCAAGAAAUGCAUACUUCAAAAUUUUCGGGAAGAUCUUUAAGUUCUAGCUGGGGAGGUUUGACAUUGGAUGGCACUAGCUGAGGUUCCAAAAUAGGCAAUGAUUCGAACUUGGUAGCCCAUUUGCUAGUAUCCAUCACAGGAAUAGAAUCUAACAAUGUGUUUACCUCCUGAUUGGAUUCACAAUCUUGACCGAAAUUAGCCAAACAUCUUUCUAAUGGAUCAGAAUAACUAGACUCUUCAAAAGAACUACUAAUUAUGUUCUCGAUCAUGUGAAUGAUGGUGAGCGUGCAGAGGGCUAAGCAUGAAUUUCAGAAAAUUUUUAUGCGAAAAGAACGGGUUAAACAUUUUAACCCAAAACAUGCUUGAUAUUUUAGAUAUUUUAACUCUGGUACCAGUCGAAGACAGUCUUCAACUGCACAUCGCAUGUGGCGCGGGCUCAGUCCCAAUACAUAGGGUGACACCCGCGCGUGCCUAUCAAAGCACUCAUCAUAUGAGCCCCCGGGUGGAGAGCCACGCUUCAUCACACGAUCACGUGUGAGAGUUUCCGGAAAUCGGAUAGUCUCCACUAAUCCUUUGCUUUGACACCAAAUAUCACAAAGCCCUCAGAUCUCGAGGAUUGUGUAAUUCAAAUAAAUAUGCAUAAAUCACAUCUUCUUGUGAUUUGAAGAUUGAGAUCAUAUCUCAAUCAUAAAAGAGAUCAGAUCUCUUACCUUUAGAAGGGGGUUCCUUCAAGGAUGCUUCACAGCCGCACAAGCGUCCGGCCUCGAUGACUCGUCCACGCGAAACUCCGGAAUGAUCAGCUUCCCGGAGAGUGCUAGCUCGCAGGGAGGUAGAAGGUUGGCUAAAAGGGAGAAGGAAGAAGAUGGACCUUCACAGCUCAAGAACUCCUUCUUGGGCUUUCACCUUCAGAACUACUCUCUCCUCUCACUCUCUUUCUCUGGUGCUCU
This 6549-nucleotide long non-coding RNA is filed under the name Phoenix dactylifera (date palm). RNAcentral's name for it is "long non-coding RNA (PDAC_LNC009085)". The record is from RNAcentral. Lineage: Eukaryota; Viridiplantae; Streptophyta; Magnoliopsida; Arecales; Arecaceae.